AUAGAUGUUUACCACAUUCAACAUGGUAAAUACACAAUUCCAUCAUUCAAAAUAAUUAAUUUCAAAUUAAAAUAUUCUUAGUAAAAACACCCUCACUUUCUUACUUUCAAUUAUUCACUUCAAAUCAUCCACCAAAUUAUUUGUAAAAUCAUUCACCAUUCACUUCAUACAUAAAUAUAAUACUUCCAUCACUUUGAACAUAAAAGAUAAUUAUAUAUGCUUAAUUCUUACAGUUUCACAUCAAAUUAUAUAAUCAAAUAAAUAUAACAUAAUAAUUUAAAAAACUUACCUUAAUUUCUCCACCUACCCAGACUCUCUUCCACUUCCAACAUCCAUCUUCAAGCUUUUUUUCCUCAUCAAAUAUGAACUCUAACUAGCUUCACAACAAACUUAUCUUGCCAUGGCGUUGUUCUCUUGUUUUUACAAAAAAUCUAUGGAAGAAUUUUUGAAGUUUGACUUGAAAGGGUUGAAAAAAGUUAGACAAUGACCUAAAUGAAAGAAAAGGAAAGUUUAGCUAAAUAUGAGAAACAAGGAAGAGAGGAUAAACUGAUGAUGGAUGAUAUCUUUUUUUCCUUUUUUUCUUUUCUACAUCUUUC
Molecule: long non-coding RNA, 596 nt
Filed under: Gossypium raimondii (Peruvian cotton)
Lineage: Eukaryota; Viridiplantae; Streptophyta; Magnoliopsida; Malvales; Malvaceae
Description: long non-coding RNA (GRAI_LNC003581)
Source: RNAcentral